Long non-coding RNA from Oreochromis aureus, 3289 nucleotides. The record is from Ensembl. NCBI's taxonomy places the organism in Eukaryota, Metazoa, Chordata, Actinopteri, Cichliformes, Cichlidae.
AUAAAUAAUAACAAGAAGAAGAAGAAAAAGAAGAAGCACCUGAAAAAAAUGUGGGCGGGGCUAUUCAUUACCGGAGUUUUUGAAUAACUGGAAAAGAUUACAAACGUGUACGUCUUUACCUGAGUAACAUCGACAGAGUAACUCGCACUUUUUAAUUUAUUUAUUUAAUUAUUUGAGUCGAAGGAGGAAAUGCGAGAUUGGAUUUAACAUGGGAGCGCCAGCAGCAGCUGGGAUAAGUGAUGGAUGGAGCGAGUUUUACUGCGGUCCGGGAUUUUCCAAACAGGGGGCUGGAAAGGAAUUGCACUGGAGCACAGCAGGGGAAAACUCCAACAGCUAAAGUUGCUGUAAAAUGUUUUGAAUAGUUCAUAACAUUUUCAGUGGUCAUUGAAAACAAAGGCAAGCUCAAUUUCCCUUGAUGGAGGAAUUUGGAUAUACCACUUAACAAAAAAAAUCAAGAAGUGAAACUUCGAGUGGAAGUGAAAGCACAGGAGAAAAAGAAGACGCAGAAGUUAGAUCGUAACCUAAUGAUCCAGAAGAAACCCAUGUCUCAGCCUCUAAACCAGUGUUUUAGAAGUUCAUCCCUAAAUUCUCAGUAAGCUUGUUUUUCAACUCUUGUAUAUCAUUGGAUGUUCAUACCUGGGUGCAUAACAGCCACUAGAACAAGAUGUACAGUCCAACACGGAAUAGAACAGCAAGAGCUGAACUAACUUCAGUUCAGGCAGCACAAGAUGCCCUUCGACCAACACAAGAUGCCGUUCAGCCCCUUCGACCAACACAAGAUGCUGUUCAGCCCCCUCGGCCAACACAAGAUGCCGUACAGUUCUUUCGACCAACACAAGAUGCCGUACGGCCUCCGCGGCCAACACAAGAUGCCGUACAGUUCUUUCGACCAACACAAGAUGCCGUACAGUUCUUUCGACCAACACAAGAUGCCGUACAGUUCUUUCGACCAACACAAGAUGCCGUACGGCCCCCGCGGCCAACACAAGAUGCCGUACGGCCCCCGCGGCCAACACAAGAUGCCGUACGGCCCCCGCGGCCAACACAAGAUGCCGUACGGCCCCCUCGGCCAACACAAGAUGCCGUUCGGUUCCUUCGACCAACACAAGAUGCCGUUCGGUUCCUUCGACCAACACAAGAUCCCGUUCAGGCCCUUCGACCAACACAAGAUGCCGUUAGGGCUUUUCAGCCAAGACAAGAUGCCGUUCGGUUCCUUCGACCAACACAAGAUGGCCUUCAGGCCCUUCAAACAACACAAGAUGCCCUUCAGGCAAAACAAGAAGCCCUUCGGGCAACACAAGAUGCCCUUCAGGCGAAACAAGAUUCUCUUCGGGCAACACAAGAUGCCCUUCAGGCAAAAGAAGGUGCCCUUCGGGCAACACAACAUGCCCUUCAGGCAGCACAAGAUGCCCUUCGGGCAACAGAACAUGCCCUUCAGGCAACACAAGAUGCCCUUGGGUCAAGACUAGAUAUCCGUCAGCCUCUUCAGGCAACACGAGAUGGUCUUAAUGACACUUGUUCACCUUUUGUUGACGAAUCAGCAGCAGGUAGCAGUUCUGACUAUGAAGAAAUCAUGAAACGCAUUAAUAUGGAGUCUGAAACUGUGUUGGAUGAUGAUUAAAUAAACUUUAAUGAAAAUCUGCUCCACUCUCAGCUUAUCCCCUCUUUCACUUCUCCAGUAAUUUUAGUGGGCCCUGGUGGACACCCUGCCUCUUGCCUUGUUCUCACAGGAUGGUCUCACUGAGCAAAAUACCCUGUGCAAACAACUUCACACAAGUAAACAGCUCACCUGAUAUGCUGUUAAAGGUCUUUACGCCUGUUAUUAAUGAUGAUUUUUAAUGAUGAAACCUGCCUGUUCCAGUGCUCAUGUCCAGGUCUGUACCAGUGCAGUGUGACCGGCCUGGUGUUUUUAAUGCAGGGAGAAGGAGACGUGGUUUACAGGACUGUCCCUUGGAACAGGAGGCUGCUGACCCAACACCACAAGAAGCCUGCAGGACCCCUGUUUGACAUUAAAUGCCAGCAGCAGUCUGUGUGUCAGCUUCAUCUCCCACACUGAGGUCAUCUCCACAGGUGGAGGUCAGUUCUUGCAGGUCGCUCAUGUGAAUGACGAGGGCAUCGAGUUUAUUAACUCUCACCUCAGGAUGAAGACUCUCCUCCUGACCCAGUCCAAGCUUUGGUUCUGCUCUUCUACAAACCCCUUGUUGAUCCUGAUCUCAGAUCUUUCCUCAGUGUGUUGUUGCUUCCAAGGAACAUCGUGAUCCGUGAUUUACAGAAAACCAGGAGGAAACUAAAUGGAGAUGAGAGGUACAUAGACACUUCUCCUCACUGCAAACUGCAUCCAAAGCAGGUUUACACUCUGUCCACUGUUCCUGAGGAUGAUCUGAUUGAAGUUCAACCAAAAGAGAGAGAUUUUUAUGAUAAGUACCACGACAGUUACUUUACGACAUUCCAGGUGAUUUUAAGAAGAAUCCUCACAGAUGUUAACCUCAGUCUGAAAGAAAAGAGCAGCUCCACAUGUGUUUGGGAAAGAGAUGUCUUUUCUCCCCUACAGUGGGAACUUUGAAUCGUCCUCCUUCUGAGAGGCUGGCAAACACACGAAGCUGCUUCGUUGAAGGGAUAUCAGGACCUGUUCUCAGCAGCCUGAUCGACAAACUGCUGGAGAAAACAGUGAUAACUGAUGCAGAAAGGGAGGAAGCAGACAGGAUGAAAAACAAAAGGGAAAAAGCACGUUUUGUUAUUGACACUGUGAGGAGUAAAGGUGAAGCUGCCAGUUCAGAGUUAACUUUCUCCAUGAGAAUGAUCACAUCCUCUGUCAGCACCUCAGGUUAAACUGAAUGGAUAUUUUAUGGAUCAUAAUGUGUUUCUUUAAUGACGCCAAAGUCAUUUUUAUCUUUCUUUGACAACUGAAGUGAGUGAAGAAAGACAUUUUUUAAAUGUUAUUCUGAAACCAUAUAAUUUAAACUUUUCAUCAAAUUUUGCAGCUGCAUUUAUUUUUAUUCUGCACUUUGUCACAGACGUUAGAGUUCUUCUGUUAAGUUAUUGUGACUGUGUGAACCAAAUCUGACAGGUGAAUAUAAUUAUUUGAAAAAAGUUGAAUUACAUUCAAUUUUGAUUUGUUUCAAACAAGUUCUAUAAAAUUAAAAAUGUUUAUAAAUUGUUCUUUACUGCAGAUCUCACAUGUUAUUUAUGGAAGGAAGCACGAAGUUCUCUGUAUGUUUCUGAUUUAAAAAUCCACAAACGCACUUUUUAUAAAGACAGCUGAGUGGUGACAGUGAUUUCAACAUCCUAG